RNAcentral lists this small nuclear RNA (193 nucleotides) under Stegodyphus dumicola. RNAcentral's name for it is "U2 spliceosomal RNA". It matches the Rfam family "U2 spliceosomal RNA". From Rfam's summary of the family: U2 is a small nuclear RNA (snRNA) component of the spliceosome (involved in pre-mRNA splicing). Complementary binding between U2 snRNA (in an area lying towards the 5' end but 3' to hairpin I) and the branchpoint sequence (BPS) of the intron results the bulging out of an unpaired adenosine, on the BPS, which initiates a nucleophilic attack at the intronic 5' splice site, thus starting the first of two transesterification reactions that mediate splicing. Lineage: Eukaryota; Metazoa; Arthropoda; Arachnida; Araneae; Eresidae. The record is from RNAcentral.
GUAAAUUGGCACCAAAUAUGUUCAAUAAAUAGUUUUUACUCUGUUCUUAUCAGCUUAAUAUCUGAUACGACGUCGACAUGACGUCAAGAUAUUAAACUAAUUUUUGCAGAUAGGCUUGUGGUUAGGAAUUUAUUCCGCCCUCGCCACGGGUUGGCCUGCUAUGGCACUACUUGCAGGAUACGGCCCACAAUAU